AUUGAACGCUGGCGGCAGGCCUAACACAUGCAAGUCGAGCGGUAGAGAGGUGCUUGCAUCUCUUGAGAGCGGCGGACGGGUGAGUAAUGCCUAGGAAUCUGCCUAGUGGUGGGGGAUAACGUUCGGAAACGGACGCUAAUACCGCAUACGUCCUACGGGAGAAAGCGGGGGAUCUUCGGACCUCGCGCCAUUAGAUGAGCCUAGGUCGGAUUAGCUAGUUGGUGAGGUAAUGGCUCACCAAGGCGACGAUCCGUAACUGGUCUGAGAGGAUGAUCAGUCACACUGGAACUGAGACACGGUCCAGACUCCUACGGGAGGCAGCAGUGGGGAAUAUUGGACAAUGGCGAAAGCCUGAUCCAGCCAUGCCGCGUGUGUGAAGAAGGUCUUCGGAUUGUAAAGCACUUUAAGUUGGGAGGAAGGGUAGUAACCUAAUACGUG
Molecule: ribosomal RNA, 438 nt
Filed under: uncultured bacterium
Lineage: Bacteria
Description: bacterial SSU rRNA
Rfam family: Bacterial small subunit ribosomal RNA
Source: RNAcentral